GACGAACGCUGGCGGCGUGCUUAACACAUGCAAGUCGAACGGAAAGGCCCUGCUUUUGUGGGGUGCUCGAGUGGCGAACGGGUGAGUAACACGUGAGUAACCUGCCCUUGACUUUGGGAUAACUUCAGGAAACUGGGGCUAAUACCGGAUAGGAGCUCCUGCUGCAUGGUGGGGGUUGGAAAGUUUCGGCGGUUGGGGAUGGACUCGCGGCUUAUCAGCUUGUUGGUGGGGUAGUGGCUUACCAAGGCUUUGACGGGUCGCCGGCCUGAGAGGGUGACCGGCCACAUUGGGACUGAGAUACGGCCCAGACGCCUACGGGAGGCAGCAGUGGGGAGUAUUGCACAAUGGGCGGAAGCCUGAUGCAGCAACGCCGCGGGCGGGAUGACGGCCUUCGGGUUGUAAACCGCUGUCGCCUGUGACGAAGCGUGAGUGACGGUAAUGAGUAAAGAAGCACCGGCUAACUACGUG
This 468-nucleotide ribosomal RNA is filed under the name uncultured bacterium. RNAcentral describes it as "partial 16S ribosomal RNA". It matches the Rfam family "Bacterial small subunit ribosomal RNA", at positions 28 to 507 of the family's 1533-position model. The record is from RNAcentral.